UGCGAAAGCGUGGGAGCAAACAGGAUUAGAUACCCUGGUAGUCCACGCCGUAAACGAUGUCGACUUGGAGGUUGUGCCCUUGAGGCGUGGCUUCCGGAGCUAACGCGUUAAGUCGACCGCCUGGGGAGUACGGCCGCAAGGUUAAAACUCAAAUGAAUUGACGGGGGCCCGCACAAGCGGUGGAGCAUGUGGUUUAAUUCGAUGCAACGCGAAGAACCUUACCUACUCUUGACAUCCAGAGAACUUUCCAGAGAUGGAUUGGUGCCUUCGGGAACUCUGAGACAGGUGCUGCAUGGCUGUCGUCAGCUCGUGUUGUGAAAUGUUGGGUUAAGUCCCGCAACGAGCGCAACCCUUAUCCUUUGUUGCCAGCGGUCCGGCCGGGAACUCAAAGGAGACUGCCAGUGAUAAACUGGAGGAAGGUGGGGAUGACGUCAAGUCAUCAUGGCCCUUACGAGUAGGGCUACACACGUGCUACAAUGGCGCAUACAAAGAGAAGCGACCUCGCGAGAGCAAGCGGACCUCAUAAAGUGCGUCGUAGUCCGGAUUGGAGUCUGCGAACUCGACUCCAUGAAUUCGGAAUCGCUAAUAAU
Molecule: ribosomal RNA, 590 nt
Filed under: Enterobacter ludwigii
Lineage: Bacteria; Pseudomonadati; Pseudomonadota; Gammaproteobacteria; Enterobacterales; Enterobacteriaceae
Description: bacterial SSU rRNA
Rfam family: Bacterial small subunit ribosomal RNA
Source: RNAcentral